This 458-nucleotide ribosomal RNA is filed under the name uncultured bacterium. RNAcentral describes it as "partial 16S ribosomal RNA". It matches the Rfam family "Bacterial small subunit ribosomal RNA", at positions 338 to 795 of the family's 1533-position model. The record is from RNAcentral.
CCUACGGGUGGCAGCAGUGAGGAAUAUUGGUCAAUGGGCGAGAGCCUGAACCAGCCAAGCCGCGUGAGGGAGUACUGCCCUAUGGGUUGUAACUCUCUUUUUUCGGGGAGCAAAAGCCGGACGUGUCCGGCUGUGAGAGUACCCGACGAAUAAGCAUCGGCUAACUCCGUGCCAGCAGCCGCGGUAAUACGGAGGAUGCGAGCGUUAUCCGGAUUUAUUGGGUUUAAAGGGUGCGCAGGCGGAUUUUUAAGUCAGCGGUAAAAUCGUGGAGCUCAACCCCAUCCAGCCGUUGAUACUGGGGUGCUGGAGUGUGCGAGAGGUAGGCGGAAUGCGUGGUGUAGCGGUGAAAUGCAUAGAUAUCACGCAGAACCCCGAUUGCGAAGGCAGCAUACGGGUGCACGAUUGACGCUGAGGCACGAAAGCGUGGGUAUCGAACAGGAUUAGAUACCCCUGUAGUC